Non-coding RNA from Vicia faba (fava bean), 243 nucleotides. The record is from the annotation of a GenBank genome assembly. Lineage: Eukaryota; Viridiplantae; Streptophyta; Magnoliopsida; Fabales; Fabaceae.
AUGGCCCUCGCGUUCAGCAGCAACAACUCUCCCUCAAAUUUUAGCGGUGGCGCUCAGCCUUCACCUCCACGACUUUUCUCACCUCUUAGUUUGACCUCACCUUUGCUUCGAACAAAACUCCGUCUUCGGCCUCGUCUCUUUGAAUCUGUGCCUCUUCUCUUCUUCGAUGAUGAGGACGAACAAAGCGGAGCCGCUAACAUAGAUCGAAAGUGCAGAAGUGACGCACCGAGGUGCUGCAGUUGA